Molecule: ribosomal RNA, 253 nt
Filed under: uncultured bacterium
Lineage: Bacteria
Description: partial 16S ribosomal RNA
Rfam family: Bacterial small subunit ribosomal RNA
Source: RNAcentral
UACGGAGGGUGCGAGCGUUGUCCGGAAUCACUGGGCGUAAAGGGCGCGUAGGCGGCGCGGUAAGUCCGUGGUGAAAGCCCGAGGCUCAACUUCGGGUCGGCCAUGGAUACUCCUGGGCUCGAGCACUGUAGAGGCAGGUGGAAUUCCGGGUGUAGCGGUGGAAUGCGUAGAGAUCCGGAAGAACACCGGUGGCGAAGGCGGCCUGCUGGGCAGUAGCUGACGCUGAGGCGCGACAGCGUGGGGAGCAAACAGG